GGACCCGCACAAGUAGUGGAGCAUGUGGUUUAAUUCGAAGAUACGCGCAGAACCUUACCAACACUUGACAUGUUCGUCGCGACUUUAAGAGAUUAAAGUUUUCGGUUCGGCCGGACGAAACACAGGUGCUGCAUGGCUGUCGUCAGCUCGUGUCGUGAGAUGUUGGGUUAAGUCCCGCAACGAGCGCAACCCUCACUUUUAGUUGCCAUCAUUAAGUUGGGCACUCUGAAAGAACUGCCAGUGAUAAGCUGGAGGAAGGUGGGGAUGACGUCAAGUCCUCAUGGCCCUUACGUGUUGGGCUACACACGUGCUACAAUGGUAUCUACAACAGGAAGCAAGACUGCGAAGUUAAGCAAAUCCCUAAAAGAUACCUCAGUUCGGAUUGCAGGCUGCAACUCGCCUGCAUGAAGCUGGAAUCGCUAGUAA
RNAcentral lists this ribosomal RNA (426 nucleotides) under uncultured bacterium. RNAcentral's name for it is "bacterial SSU rRNA". It matches the Rfam family "Bacterial small subunit ribosomal RNA", at positions 917 to 1341 of the family's 1533-position model. The record is from RNAcentral.